Non-coding RNA from Taeniopygia guttata (zebra finch), 9582 nucleotides. Lineage: Eukaryota; Metazoa; Chordata; Aves; Passeriformes; Estrildidae. The record is from RefSeq and is a predicted model, not a curated record.
UAUAUAUAUAUAUAUAUAUACACGUGUGUAUGGACUUGUGUCUACACCUUACCUUUAAUUUUAGCCUUUUCCACAGUUUCAAAUACAUCAAGUAACUGAAAAGAUAGUGAUUUUCUAUAUGUUUUGGGAGAAUAAAUGUCUAAAUAGAAAGAGGUGCUUAGUAAUGUUCUCAUGAGGAUAUGAAUGUAAAGGGUAAAUGAAUCUGUAUCAAAAAAUCCAUACAGGAGCACCACUGGGACACAAAUCUCUUUGGAAAAGGGCUUUGUAAAGUGCCAGUGUUCUCAGAAUAAUAGUUUAACAUUUUAUGGUUAGUCUUGCUUGAGAUCAGGACUGUAUGAAGACUGUCAAGGUGUGAAGUCAAUAUGUAAAAACUAAAUUGCACUGAAAUCUGGAGGCACCCAUGAAAAACGAGUUGCCUUACUUCAAAGUAGCUUAAUCUUUUCACUUUCAUAUGUAGACAAGCCUUAUACCUACCCUCAUUAGACAGUUGUGGAAAUGUCUGUCACUGCCCUGAGCUGACAUAUCUAAAGAUAUAUUUAGAGAAUGUGCUGAUGUGAUGAGAAAAUGUUUUAAAUGAGAAUGGAAAAGAAGUGACUCCAGCUUUAAAGUAAUCAAAAGAACUACUUGAAACAAGCAUUGAGUAAUCCACAUCUUAAAACUGACAAUUUGGUGAAAAGCAAGAUGGAAACUUAACACAAUUACUUUAAAAAGUAGCAAUAGGAAGGAUUAUGUAUCUUCAGAAUUCUAUAAAAUUAAUAGAUAACAUGAAAUUUUCAUGCUAGUGGUUAUAAAACUACUACUGCUUUCCAAUAGUUGCGCUUUGAAAAAUGAAAGGCUUCAAUCAAGCUGUUCAUUUCUGUGAGUUUAUAUUCAGUGUUUGUAGAGCCAAGAACUAUAAGGGUUUUUUGCAGGAUUUAUAAACAGAUGCCAUUUUUGUUAUUGCCCUCAUUUCAAAAAGUCUUUAACAGAAGUAAAACCAGCUAAAUUAUAACUUACAUCCAUUGGGAAAACUUGUUGCCAGAACAAUAGAUUACUGAUUAAAUUUUAUCACAGAAUUUUUUUCAGAAAUUUUCUAGGUUUCUUAAAAUAUUUUGAGUGUUAGUUGGAAAUUGUAAAAGAACAUAUUUUUGUUUUACAUGUGUUUUUUUAAUAGAAAAUUUUCAAGUGUGAAUUCUUUUUUCAAAACAUAAAUACUUUCCCUUAGGAAAGGGAGAUGGAAAAAAUACUGUGCAAUCCAAUCCCUAAUCUCUUUCUUAAUGGAAGUGUUAGUAAUAGGACUAAAAUAGCAAACAAAAUUAUCCGAUAAUCUUUCAUUGUUUUUUUUUUUCACUAUCUGAAAAUACUUUGAACUUGUUUGAUAGAUUUACACACUUUCAAUGUCACAGUUUUAUACUUCUGUAUCACCAUGUUUUUCUUGGGUAGAACUGCAAUGUGAGGUGUGCACAUAUUAAGAACUAGUUUUAGCUCUUUAUAGCCAAAUGGAAAAUAUUGGUUCAUAGCAAUAACUUUCUGGUCCUUCAGAGAAAAAACAUCAUUAAAAUAUUCCUUCUCAGAUACACUGGAUACAUGUAAAUUAUCUGACAGUUGGCCAAGGAAGUACGCUUGAGGACAAAAUUAUGAGUGAAGAAAAUGAUAAAUUAAAGACUAUAAUUGAGUUUUGAAACUAAUCUGAAGAGUAUUUAAUCUGGAAACUUCAUUUCAUAUAUUUAUUUUAUUGCCAUUUAUGUUCCCAAUAAUGAUUCUGCUGGAAUUUCUACCUCAGAUAUGACAUCAAAGACCUAAUUGCUGAAGGUCACAGAAUGGUCUUUUAUUCUUGCACUAGUUGAGAAUAUUUCAACAACAUGCAGUUUGGGAAAAGAGUCCAUUCAACAAACAAACUGCACCUUUUCCUGUAGGUGAUGGCUACAGGAUUUCAGAUGGCAUUUCAGAUGGCUAUAGCCUUCCAAAAAUCUCAGAAAGAAACUUCCAGUGGUAUGCUUUUAUAUGAUCAAAGGUAAAAAUGGUGUUAUUGAUAAUGCUGCUGAUGUUUUAGAGGAAUCUCCAGGUCAAACCAAGGACUGCAUUCACAACAGCAGACUGCAUCGUUUUAAUUUAUUGCAUAUUCGAAAUGGAAUUGAACACAGCAGGCACACUUUGUUGAGCAUGUCUGAACAACAUCAAAGUCGUUCAUUAUGUAAAUAUUGGAAUGAACCUUUUAAAUUUUAAUUUAUAACCUUAGGUUUUCUCUCUGAACAAAAUAACAUUUCAUUAAAAAUUGCAUUUUUAAUCAAAAUCUAUGUUUUUUGGUUACGAUAACUUCAAGUUCACAAGUUUUGGGCAGCUCUUGAUAUAACUGUGACAUUUUUGUAACUCUGAAGAAAUUUACAAACUAUCAGGUGCAGUGUUUGAUUUGCAAAGAGAAUGUGGCUGAAGUAAUGGUGCAUUUACAUUUUCCAGCAGCUUCACAGGAAAUAUAUGGUGUGCUUUAUGUCACAAGGAGUAAUUUAUUAUAGCUUAUAUGAUAAAAAGCUUAGAAAUCAAACCAGUUAUUGAGAGUUCUGUGCUGUCUAUUUAUUGCCAAUCAGAAAAAGAGGAAUUUAAUACCAAGAGAAAAAAAGGCCAUUUGCACAGCAUUUUGGGUGGAACAUUUAAGCUAAAAUGCAUCCCUAGAAUACUAUUCCAGGGAUGCAUUAUAGUCAUAUGAUCACAGAGUGAUUAAAAAUCCAUAACGGAGUAUUUCUUUUCCAGGUGUACACAUAAAAAGACCUCUUAUCCUUACAAUUUGACUUCCAUCCACUCAAACAAUUUUGUUCAUUAGGUACUGGUGUGGAAGGUAAUGCAUCUAAAAGAAUGAACCCUAUUUUCUGGUACAGGACAGUUCAUUAUCCUAAAAGCUCUUUCAUUAUAUCCCUUAAAUUGAGAAGGCAAGGAACAUCCUGCUUAUGAUUUAGCCUGAGAGCAACGUACGUUCUCAAAAUAAAUGGUGAAAAUGUCUGUAGGUGUGCACACAUGCAUGUGCACAUGCAUGUAGUGGUACUUCAGUUUGCCCUUUAUUGAAGCGGUGAAGCACAAAACAAGUUGAGAGUCAACAAGGUUACAAGCAGAGGAAAUAUCAUUGAAGUUCUGUUCCUCUCUAAUUUUGUACUUUUGUGUAGCAGCUCACUAAAGAAAUAGAGAAAUUUAAAUAUUCAGUUCUCACUUUCAGAUUUAUGUGAAAUAUGAGGACUAGUUUCUAGACCCUGGAAAAAGAGUGAGCUGCUUGCUCAUUCCAACAGUGAAUGAGAUUCUGAACCAAUAUGCUUGAAAUGUGAUAUGUUUUAAGAAGACCAGGAGAAGAGCUGGCAUGCUCAAGAGCUGAUUUGAUUUUGUUUCUCCAGCUGAUACAGUUAACCCUGUAGAAGAAACUUCCUGCCUCUGUAAAUUUUGUCUAAUUCCUGUCUGUUGACCCUUAUCACUAAAAUGAUACUAUUAUUAAAGGUAUUAAAUCAUAUUAUUACUGACUUUCAUUCUUAUGACUUGAGAAUGAAAGCAGGUGCCAGUAAUAACUCCUACACUUGACUUCAGCAAAAUUUUUGUAAUUUGUUCAUAGAUCUUUGUGGGUUCCUUCCAAUUCAGAAUAUUCUGUGAUUUUGUGGCUUUUCUUUUCUUCACACUCUACAAUUGCAAACAAACGUUGCCUUUUAGAACACAUUAUUAUGAAGCACCUGUAUCCUGAGGAAAGGUAUCAAGUCUGUUGUGCAUUUGUUCCUUAUUCUUAAAAAAGCAUGACAAAGUAACUGUAUGAACAAACAAAAGAGACAUAGAUGAAUGUCAUUGCAAGUAGAAAAAUAGUAGCAUGACACAAGUUCACUUGUCUGAGCUGGUGUAGGUCCAUUAAUGUAAAUGGAGUGGUCUUCAUUAGACUGUGCUGAUACCUAACUAAAGACACUGACAGGCUCUCAUCAUUGUGCAAGAAUUUCCUCUGCAUUACCUUUUUUGACCUCCAACUCAUGUUUUACCUUGGUUUAAUAUGCAUGGCAUGAAGUAUCUAAAUUAUCUAAAUAGAUUUAGAAAACUUUACUAAUAAACUGAAAAUUAGGUGAUUUCUUGCUGAUUCUUUUCUUUAUGGCAGGAGUUAGUGGUCUCACUAGUUCCAAUGACAAAUUUGUAAGAAUGUGGGAUGUAGCAUAGAUUUCACCAUGAGUGUGAAACAGCCUAAGCCUCUCAGACAUCCUUUACAUCUGCAUAGUCUGCAGCACUGAUCAGUCAGUGCAUCUAUGGACCAGUCUAGAACAUAAAGAAAUCUAGGCAAAUGCCCACUAGUUUUUUCUCCUUUUACAUUAAAUUUCUUUGUGGAAAUCUGCAAUUAUCUAUGACUGGAAAUGCAUAAUGUAUAAAUUCUGCAUUAUGUAAUUACUUAUAAUUUUAUAUUGUAUUGCCAAAGAGUAGAAGGGGAAAAAGGCAAAACCAGGCUCUCCAGUGAUGUACAAUGGGAUGCCAAAACUGGAGGAAAUGAGCACUAAUGGGAUCCCUCAAUCUGCUUCACCAGGUGUUGGCUACGAAGUACCACACCUGAAAUGUUUCUACACUAAUGCCUGCAGCAUGAGGAACAAACAAGAGGAACUGGAACCUUUGGGCCACUCCCAGAGAUUUGACAUCAUUGGCAUAAGUGAAAGCUGGUGGGAUGAGUCCUGUGACUGGAGUGCCCUGCCAGAUGGUUGCAGGCUCUUGAAGAGGGGUAGGCAGGACAGAAGAGGUGUUGGCACUGUAUGUAAUAGAAGGGUUAAAUCAAGUUAAUUGAGCUCAUUUUCUGACUCAUCUGUCUUCAGGCAACUGCUUCAUGAUUAGACCAUGUCAUAUGCCUUAUUUAAUCAUAUAAGUUAAAUCUUGCAAACUUAACAAUCCUGGUUGCUGGUGAAAAGAUUAAAUGGCCAAAGUUGGGUAUGUAGGAUUUAAAAUAUACUGUAAUUAGACUAUAUUAGGUAUUUUGGAUUUAUGUAGCCUAUGGCUGAUUUUAAAUUUAUUUUGUCCUCAUUGUCCUCUUAAUUUCCUGGUAUGCUGCACAGAUAUGUUAAUUUACUGCUCAAGCUGAAUGUAAGGUCACAGUGUCCCACUUUUGUUUGUAGUUGAUUGCUUAUCACCUAUUCAAGACUCCAUUUCUAUUUACCAUGUGUAUUUGAUGAUUGGGCCUCAGUAAGUCCCUACAAAAGAAUACUGAUCAUGUUUUCUUUUCUCUCUAACAGCUGCUCAGUAAUUUCACAAGAUGUAAUGUAAGUCUAUUCAUGAAGUAAAGUGAGACCCUCUCAGCUCAUGUUGAUUGUGCUCGUGGAGGUGCUCACCAGUCUGUUGAAUACAUUCUGCAAUUAUUAUUAUUAUUUUUUGAAGCAGGCAGACUACAGACUGAAGAACAUAUGAAGUAAAAGUUAAGCCUCUUUGUCUCUUACACAGAAUACACAUGCUGAUUCCCAUAGGAGAGAUGUAGAAUGGAGAGUGAUAAAAAUGAGUUGAUUUGUGUGCCACAUUGAUCUUAGAACUAAUUAAUUCCUUUUAUGAUAAGGACCAUUUGAGAGAUAAACAUUCCAUGUUGUUGGGUGAAAUGGAACGUAAGUAUGGGAAUUCUUUCUCCUUAAGAUGUGUCUUCUAUAUUUUAAAAUGAAGGUAGGUAACAUGUAUAUAUAUCCUUUCUAAUUACUCCUAUAAUGUCUAAAUUUAUGUUUAAAUUAGACACUUGCAGUGUACAUCAAAUACAUUGACCAUUUAUCUACUAUUUUCAUACAUCUCUAAUCUAUGAUAUGUAUUUGUUUGCUACAGUGUGAUUGUAGGAGUUUCUUCUCUGCCAAGAUGCUAAAAUAAAUGUUUGAAAAUAUUAUGAUUCAUGUGCCAAGGUUUACUUCCAAGAUCAUGCUAGCAGCUUCGCAGUGGGAAUACCUUUUCUUAAAAAAAAGAAGAGAAUGAGUAUCCAAGUCACUUUUAUGUCACAUCCAGUGAAUAAUGUAAAAAAACUUAAAAAAUGUAUUUAUUUUGUCAAUAAGAGUAGGGAAAAAAAGGGUAGGAUGUUGCAAGUAGGGAAGAGAUUUAUAUGCAGGUUCUUUAAAUUAGAAGGGAAACAUUACAGCAUUAUCUUCAGAUGCUUAGCAUUUGAAAACUUAUGUUUAUGUUUCUUACAUGUGGAAAAAUGUCUGAAGUUAAAUACUUUUCACAUGUCUAGGCCAAACUUUCAGAAUAAAUCCCGUAGGUGAGCAGUUGUGCAGUUAGUUCAAACUAUUGCUACGUAUCUUACAAAUUAAAUUUACAAAGCUUCAAAUUUCUUCCAGCUCAGUCUGUCUCAGAACUUAAUAUUUUAAGGACAGAUCUAAUAUGGACUUAAAUGUUAGAUUACCCUAAGCCAAAAUUGCAAAACUAAUUCCUCCUUGCAGAGUGAAGAAUUCUAAGUUUUCUACAGAUAUAGUGAUACAGCAAGAAAUAUAGUCUCUGGUGAUGGGGAUGAUCAGGGAAGCAGAAAUUUAGUAUGCAGUGCCUGACUUGGAGUCUAGUAGCUAUGGAUAUAAGUGCAGAGCAUUGAUUUCCAUGGUCCCAGGCCUGUUUAUACAUUUAACAUGAAAAUUUUUUCAUUUAAAUAUUGAAGUAACUGGAAGGAAACAGAAUUCACCUCUCCUGUUUCUGAUCAGCUUUACAGAACUCUUUAAGCAGAAAGUCAUAACUGUUCUUGCAGGCAAGGGAAAUUGUUGAGCUUUGCUACUGACUAAAAAACUUUGAACCACUUCAAAUGGAAAGAAAAAGACCAUAAUUCUACCUAAACCAGGAUACCUUGAUGGCUCUGGCAUUCUUGUGUGUUUGCAUGUUUCCAUAAGACAAAAAGGCAUCUCUGCUAUUAGAAAGGGGAAGAGCCCUGUAUUCAGAUUAAUAAUUACUGCGUUGAGACUGCCAUGUAUUGAUCUUGCCUAUUGGAGAUUAAUAACAUGACAAUUCCCUCCAUUUUCUCUUAAUAGAAGGAAUCACAAUUUCCCAGAGAAAUUGCAGAGAGUGCUUCCAGCAUAAGAGAAGCAAUACACAAAGCUUUCCUUAGAGCUCUUUUCCCUACCAGUCCCGGACUCAUUCCUUCUUGCUCUCAAUUUACACUCACUCUUCUUCUUUAAUAAUACCUAAGACCCCACAAUUUACUUGAAACAGCAACCUGAUACUUGUUUCUGCCUCAAGUGUCAAGCAUUUAAGUCAGAAGCUGCAGCAGCUAGAAAGUUUAUGAAAUUGAGUUUAGCAGGGGUUUUGGGUGAGCAUCACUGGAUUUAGGGCCUGGAAACCUACCUGUGACCAUUUUCACACCUAUUUACUAUUUUAGCACUGAAAAUAUUUCCCUUUGAUAAAAUAUAUAGAAGAUAGCUAGCUCUAAAACAAAUGCAGCAAAAAUUCCCUAUGCUUUCUUAAUAAUAAGUUAUUAAGGCAGACAUUAUUGUUAUAUGAGUGGAGAUUAACUCUUGGACCUAUUUUAUGAGAUUCAGCCUUUUAUCUCUAAAUUUCUUUUUUCUAUUAUAGCCUCUGACAUUACGAGUUAGGUAAAAUUUUAUAUAUAAAAACACUGAAUUAAUCAGUGUUCAUUCCUAUGAAAGGGAAUGAAAAGAUUUAUUGAUCUCUUUAUUAAAGAAUAGCAUGAACAUAACAUGACUGAAAGUAUGUUGAAAUAAUUUUUAAUGAGUUUUGCAUCCUGACACUACAAUAUAUUUUUUUUCUGAAAUUUAAAACACUCCUGGAAAUAAUUGCUAUCAGAUCCUUCUCCCUUUGUUCUUUAGAUUUCUAUGUGCUAUCUUUUACUUGGCAGAUGUGUGUGUAUACACUCAAAAGUGAGGAAUAGGAAAAAUGAGUUGAAGGAGGUGGAUUUAAAGCUGCAAUCAAUUAAUCUGUUGCUAGGGAACUGUCAGCUGCCCACUCACAAAAUAGCAGUCAGCUGGCUGCAGUUAGGAGCAUAUAAAAUGGAAGUACAAAACAUUACAGCUCUCUCUAUUCUUAUUGAUUUUUUAAAAAAAUUAUUUUAUUAGUGCUGUUUUUAUGAAGGAAAAAGGAAGGAAAGUUUGAUAGCAAAGGUCAAAAUGUCAUACAUAUUUCGGUCUUAGUUGACAUGCUUAAUUAACUGACUGCAGGAGUUUGGGUUCAUAUUUGGCUAUGUUUAUGUUUAUCACUCAAUUAAUAUGGAGUGGAGUGGUGCAGUAUGUGGAAAUAAUAACAGAAGAGCAUAUUUGACCACACCAGGUUAGUCUAAUGUGGUCUGAUUGGGGAAUACUUUGAAAAUCCUAGGCAUUUAAUGGAAUGCCAGUUAAUUCAAGCUUGAUGAAAUUCAAAGAGUGAGGUGUGGCUGAUAAAGAUAAGCCACAUAGAUACACACAGAAGCAGAAGAUUUCAUUUUACUCAGAACUCACUCAAGUGUGUGAGGUUUUUCAGACUUAAAACAGAAUUCCCCAUCUAAAGUUCCAAUGGGAUUUUUGAUUCUGGCAAAGCAUCUCUCACAUGUGUUUCAGGCUUGUUUUGCUUGUUCUGGAAGAAAGGGCCUUGUUUUGAAAAGACUUUCAUAGUGUUUUUGAAGAUUUUAAAGAAAUAUUAGCAUAGAACCUUCUUUAAACAUAUUUUUUCUGUAAUAUUUGGUGUUCAUGGUUUUCAACGUUAAUGUUAAAGACUAAGGCGAAGCACCAUGAAAAUUUUUCUUAUAACUGUCUUGGUGCUUUCAUGGUCAUGUGAGGCAGAAUACAAUGAUACAUCCUGAACAAUGUUCUUAUAUGGCUUCUACUGGGAGAGGAUAAAAAGCUAGAUCAGAUUUUGACAUUUCCUACUCGUCUUACCAUUUAUAUUCUUGCUUUCAUUUCUACAUAUGUUGAUGUAUGGGAGAGGCAAAAAGUAGCAAAAGAUAAGAUGGAGGACUUGGCUUUGGUCAUUCAAUCAUCCAACUACCUUUGGUCUCCUACAUACCAGCUGUAGGAAGCCCUGGUAUUUAGAGCUCUGUGUCUGCAAUUUUAAUGCUUCAUCCACACUUAGAAAUAAUAAUUAUUGUCAUGUGUGCUUGGCAGGAAUGAACCAACUUAAAUGCGAACCACCAGCCUGUGAGCUCUGUGUAUGCCUUAUACACUAGAUCUCUUGAUGAUUACCUCAUUUGCUUGUAAGCUGGUGCUCAAGAGUAUGCCAAGACUGGUGCAGUUAUAAGAAUUUCUCAUACUGGAAGCUGAUGGCUUAUUCUAAAGCAUUGAUUACCAAGCCUGUUCUAGGCUAUGAACCCAAAGAGAAGAGGAGGAAUAAAGGCAAUUAAAUCAUAACUGGAGGCAUCUAAAAAGUGCUGGAGAAAGAGAGUAAUCUUUAUAAUCUGCAUGUCAAAUGAGAAGGAAUGCAGUUUCCAGUAUAAAGCCUAGGGAUAAAGAAAUAGAAAUAUAAAUGACAAAAAAUUUUGACCUGUAGUACUUGAGGCUAGAGGGUGUUUGGUGCAUGUGUUUGAUUAUUUACAUGUGUUUAUUACAGUAUUUUCAAUUAGGAUAAGUGAAGAAACACUGACCGGCAAAAUCCUCAAAAACUUAGGGGCUGCAGCAGAGAUGCAUUUCCUAUUAUAAUGUAGAAAUGUUUCUGGCUCUAAUAAAGUACAUUAAAAAGUGC